Non-coding RNA from Odocoileus virginianus texanus, 657 nucleotides. The record is from RefSeq and is a predicted model, not a curated record. NCBI's taxonomy places the organism in Eukaryota, Metazoa, Chordata, Mammalia, Artiodactyla, Cervidae.
GCAUUGGCAGAUGAGUGCUUUGCCAUGGGAGCCAUCUGGAAAGUCUUGUGGACAGUUUGACAUCAGCUAUAGUGGGAGAACUCACACCACAGAAACCCGCAAAUACUACACUUCAGAUACCCUUCAUUGUCUGAAUCCAUAAUUGGAUGCUGCAAGGAGCAUUUACUUGUCCAGAGACAUCAGUGUUCCAUUCUCUGUGGUGAAAACCUCUCCCAUCCACCGAGGUCAAUAAGAAACAAACAUUUAUUGAAAAGAACUAUGAAAAUAUGCCUGCCUUACUUAUGUAUAUUUCACAGACUGUAUGAAGUGAGAUGGCCCCUGUAUGAGCUUCUGUCUCCUCUCUCAGAAAAGAAAAGUAGGUUUCCUAUAAUGACAUCAGUUCUGGUACAUCUUCGCCUACACUUCGCUCACAGCCUUCAAGACCGCAGUUCCUGACGGGGUUCCCAGAUGGCCUUGCACACUCCCACGCUGCUGGUGGGAUGUGCAGGCCCUGAGCCAGAUGGGUCGACAGCAUGUCUGGAAGUCAUGCUUCUUACCUUCCUUCUGUCUAGAUUGGUACAGCAGUCCAUCAUUUUCCUAGUUCUUAAUUUUUUUUCUGUAUAAGUAAUUCCAUUCAUUGUGUUAGCAUAUUGAAAGUAUAUAAAGGUAUAUAAUGAA